AGGACGAACGCUGGCGGCGUGCUUAACACAUGCAAGUGGAGCGACGAACCGGGGCUUGCCCCGGGGCAGAGCCGCGAACGGGUGAGUAACACGUGGGUAACCUACCUCGAUGAUUGGGACAACCCGGGGGAAACUCGGGCUAAUACCAAAUGUGCUCGUAGACCAUGAGGUCCAUGAGUAAAGAUAGCUUCGGCCUUCGCAUCGAGACGGGCCCGCGGCCCAUUAGCUUGUUGGUGAGGUAACGCUCACCAAGGCAACGAUGGGUAGCUGGUCUGAGAGGACGAUCAGCCACACUGGGACUGAGACACGGCCCAGACUCCUACGGGAGCAGCAGUGGGGAUCUGCGCAAUGCGACGAAAGCGUGACGCAGCAACGCCGCGUGGAGGAAGACGGUCCGUCGGAUUAGUAACUUCCUUUCGAGGUUAGGACGA
This 431-nucleotide ribosomal RNA is filed under the name uncultured soil bacterium. RNAcentral describes it as "bacterial SSU rRNA". It matches the Rfam family "Bacterial small subunit ribosomal RNA", at positions 26 to 451 of the family's 1533-position model. The record is from RNAcentral.